UCUCCCGAAUCCGACCUAAUAAGAGCCUUCAAAGUUAACGGGCCGGGCCUACUCUUGUGGGCUUAGCAUAGACCCACGCUAAAACUAUAAAGCUUAUUAGUGAGUGUAUGGCGCUCACAGCGAGCAUAUAAGCGUCGAAACGCGCCUCCUCCGCCGUCUCGGCUCCGCCUUUCUCCUCCGUCCCCGCCGUCUUCUCCCUCUUCCCUCUCCUUCGCCGCUCGUAUUUUCUUCUCCCACACUCUCCUCUUCAUCUUCUUCCAGAUCACCCUUCUUUCCUCCCUUUCGAGCUGCAUCCGUCCUCGGCGCCAGCGACUUUGACACCGACUCCGACGAGCCCUCAGCCGUCUUCCACGAGUCCGACUUCCAUGGAUUACACCUGCUUCUCACCCGAUCCAAAACCAAAUCCUUGUCCUUGUCGCGAUGAGAGGCCCUGGCCUUCCCGCGGGUCUCCUUUCGGUGGUCGCGCGCACUCGGGGUUUGGUCACCUAGGCUCUAUUGAUGCUGAUGCGGGGCCAUGAAUUGGCCUUCCUCGCUUCUGGUGGGCGUGGCAUAUCAUGACUUGGGUGAUGGGCAAGCAGCGGCGAUUUGAUUUGGCCUGCUUCCUGGUGCGCGGCAUGCUCCCCGAGUGUUUGUGACCAAGAAAACUAUACAAAUAUCCCAAUGGCAAGCAGCUGCAGAUGUUAUCAAUCUUCUCUCCCCUACCAUGAACCCAGGACAGCUGGGAUCAACAGCUAGAUUACAUGCCACUUUUUUGUUGGUAAAAUGUGGGUUAAUGGCCUACUAGCUGUAAAUCAUUUUCUGAUUCUAUAAUAAGAUAGAUGUUGCUGAUUAUUUUCGGAUUAUUUGUUUUUGUCAUGAGAUAAAACCAAGGAAAGAUGACCAAGAUGAGGUAUCACAUUUUCUGCAGCUUGAUCUGCUAUGCGAGUGAAUAAACCAGCUGACUAGUGAUAUUUAUUUGGACUUUUGAAUUAGCAUUUCAGAUAGAUUGUGGCUUGAACUGGCCAGUGUAAAUAUUAACUUGUGGUAUAAAUCUGUUGAAAUGGUUCUUGAAGCUCUCACAAAACAGGUGGGUUCCACACGGCAGAAGUGACAUGGGUGAGACUACCUGCCAUUUGAGAGGGGAAAAUGUACCCCUGUAUCAGCUGACGCCAUUGAUCCAAUUUGGAGAAGGCCUCACAUUCAUGCACAUUAUCUCCCACCUUUGCUCCAGGACACGGACUUGUGUUGUUGAUCCCAGGUGCAAGAGUGUCGCGGAUGGUGUUCCUUGAGAAUGGAGCUUCAUGCAGUAGAUUCCACAUUUUUCGAUGGGAAAUCGUGUUCCUUGUCUCGAUUUUCAGAGAAUGGUCCACAGUUGGAUGAUGAUGAUGAUUGUGAUGGUGGUGGUGGUGGAUUCUGCCCCUUCAAAGUGGUGAAAGUUAUUUCUCCCAGAAAAAGAGGUGUGUUGGCAAUCAUCAAAAUACCUUCUCUGAACCAUGUGCAGUCCACCUUGUUGGUAUCAGUGACACAAUAGAAAAUGGAGGUGCAGCAAGCAGUCUGGCAAAACAGACAAAAGCACCCAACACUGUUUCAUCUUUCUUUCUCGAUUCAAAUGAUUCAAGAGAAAGCAAGAAAGUCAAAUCCGUGAAGAAGAAGAAUAUAAUUGUUGUGUUCUCUGCAGAAGACAUCCGAUGCAAAGAUUUGCCUGAUCCACUGGUAUGUAGCAUGACACCCUGCCAUUUGCUAGAAUAAUAGGUUUUGAGUUGAUGCCAACGUGCGUGCUCGAUUUCAUGUGAUCACAAGUUGGUAUGGUAGCACUUGCACCUGACGACAGAAAUCCAUAUCAUCUUCUGACAUGUCACAUGUGGUGCCAAUUGAUAUCUAACCAGCUAAAGAAAAGCUCCGAUGACAGGGAACCACCACUGCACAAGAUACAGAAUCACCAUUCCAGACUUGAUAUAAUGCAUUUCAAGAAUCUACACAAGGAUGAACCGGAAGAACAAAAAGCUCCAGUCGUUUAGAUUCCUUUAUACCCAACAAAUUGUUUUCGAGUGCCUGUUAGCUGCUGUACAGCUCAUAAUAAGCUUUGUACAGAAAGGGCAUCUAUCUACCCAUAAUUGUUUCAUGGAAUAAUAUCCAAGCGGAGAAGGUUGCUGAUCAACAACAACUCAAAGUUGGUAAGCGUUCGUUCUCUAUCAAGAACAAAGAAGCAUUCUAUAUCUUGGUACAUUACAACAGCUCAAUGUUGCAUGUUGUUUAACCAUGUCUGAGAACAACACUACAAUUAGAUGUUUUCUAACACAACAUUCUUUUUGAUUUGGGUAUGAGGACCAAAAAUUGCAUGCAUGCAUUCAUGCGCAAGAGAAAUCGGCAGAAAGCAAUCAAUCACACAUCUUUUCAAUCAGAAAGAAGGAAAGAAAUCAUUAUCUACACAACAGCAAGAAGCUCAGGGAGGGGAAGGAGAAAACUCGCAUGGCAUAGCCGGAAGUUCCAUCUCCCCCUUGAGAAUUCUGACGACGUCGCCACCGUCCGGCCGCAGCUCCGGAAUCCUCUGCAAGCACAAGAGAGCCAGGUUGAUGCAAAGGCUCGCCUGUUCCUUGUCAUAUGCAUCCGUCAACCUCUCAUCCACGAGCUCCAGGAGAUUGCCGGUUUGAAGCAACCGCCUGCACCAGCUCACCAAGCUCGCCUUCUCUGGCUUCGCCGGCGACGGCAGCACGUGCAGCGGCCUCCUCCCGGAGACGAUGACAAGGAUCAGAACCCCGAAGCUGUAUAUAUCGGCCUUCUCCAUCAGCUGAUCACAGCCAUGGCACUCUGGAGCGACGUAGCACACCGUGCCUCUCAUGCUCGUCGUGCUGCUCAGCUCCCUACUGAGCAGAUCACCGCUGAACAUGUCGCUGCCCACUGACUGACUCCUCUUCUUCCUCCAUCCCUUUCUGAAGCCUGCAUCCGCGGUCAAGUCUCGGCCAUGCUUAUUAGCAUCAUCGCCGAGAUCACUGAUCGUUCGGAGCCACUUCCGCUCUUUCUGGCAAUGUCCCUUCUUGCUCAUUUC
Molecule: long non-coding RNA, 3025 nt
Organism: Musa acuminata AAA Group (dessert banana)
Lineage: Eukaryota; Viridiplantae; Streptophyta; Magnoliopsida; Zingiberales; Musaceae
Exons: 7
Source: RefSeq, a predicted model, not a curated record